This 508-nucleotide ribosomal RNA is filed under the name Bradysia confinis. RNAcentral describes it as "partial small subunit ribosomal RNA". Lineage: Eukaryota; Metazoa; Arthropoda; Insecta; Diptera; Sciaridae. The record is from RNAcentral.
GUCUUUUUGAAUUAUAUAUAUAAAGUCUAACCUGCCCAUUGAACAUUUUUAAAGGCUGCGGUAUUUUGACCGUACAAAGGUAGCAUAGUCAUUAGUUUCUUAAUUGGGAACUUGUAUGAAUGGUUGAAUGAAAAAUUAACUUUUUUUAUAAAAAUAUUGAAUUUUACUUUUUAAUUAAAAGGUUAAAAUACACUUAUAAGACGAGAAGACCCUAUAGAGUUUUAUAAUUUACUUUUUAUUGAUAAAAAAGAUUAUUUAUAUUAUUAUAAUAUUAAUUAUUUUAUUGGGGUGAUAGUAAAAUUUAAUUAACUUUUAUUAAUAUUAAACAUUAAUAUAUGAAAUGCUGAUCCAGUAAUAUUGAUUAAAAAUUUAAAUUACCUUAGGGAUAACAGCGUAAUUUUUUUUUAAGUUCAUAUUAAUAAAAAAUUUUGCGACCUCGAUGUUGGAUUAAGAUUUAAUUUUAGGUGCAGCAGUUUAAAAUUUAAGUCUGUUCGACUUUUAAAUUCUU